Molecule: ribosomal RNA, 324 nt
Filed under: uncultured eukaryote
Lineage: Eukaryota
Description: partial 18S ribosomal RNA
Rfam family: Eukaryotic small subunit ribosomal RNA
Source: RNAcentral
CCCUUAGAUGUUCUGGGCUGCACGCGCGCUACACUGAUGCGAUCAACAAGUUUUUCCUAUGUCGAUAGACACGGGUAGUCUUUUGAACUCGCAUCGUGAUGGGGAUAGAUUAUUGUAAUUAUUAAUCUUCAACGAGGAAUUCCUAGUAGGUGCAAAUCAUCAGUUUGCAUCGAUUACGUCCCUGCCCUUUGUACACACCGCCCGUCGCUGCUACCGAUUGGUUGAUCUGGUGAAUUAUUCGGACUGCCGGCUGAAGGGGUUUCCUCAUCUGCCAGCGGAAAGUCUUGUUAACCCUAUCAACUAGAGGAAGCAGAAGUCGUAACA